UGCUGACUGGGGCUGGCCUGUG
RNAcentral lists this microRNA (22 nucleotides) under Mus musculus (house mouse). RNAcentral describes it as "mmu-miR-7684-3p". The record is from miRBase by way of RNAcentral. Lineage: Eukaryota; Metazoa; Chordata; Mammalia; Rodentia; Muridae.